Eriocheir sinensis (Chinese mitten crab) is the source of this 617-nucleotide long non-coding RNA. RefSeq lists it as uncharacterized. The transcript has 3 exons. The record is from RefSeq and is a predicted model, not a curated record. NCBI's taxonomy places the organism in Eukaryota, Metazoa, Arthropoda, Malacostraca, Decapoda, Varunidae.
CUGGAGGAGACGAUACAGAACGCCCAACCUCGAGGAAGCUGAUUUAGUGAGAGAAGAGAUGAGAAGUUUCCAGUUAAGAUUUUGAGUUAACCCUAGAACACUAAACCGAGUCCAUAUGGAUUCAGGCUCCAUGCGGUUUCUGGGAAUUCUUUGUGUGGUGUCCACAUAAAUGACUAAUUGGCAACUUUUAUUGUUUACACCAUUAGUCACUAGCCGGAUGCCAUAGAGAGUGCACGUGCUUCCCUCCCACGCCUUUGCAGUUUUCCAUGCUGUAACCAUGAAACGAAGCAGAUACAUUAGUGAUGAGGUGUUGGAGCUACUAGUCAACUCCGACGAUUUCCAGCAUGACCUUGACAGUACCGCAGGCGAGGCAGCAAGAUAUGUAUGCAGCUCGGGAUUGGAAGGCACCUGGCAAUAUCGAGUGAUGCAUGUAGUAUAUAUUUCUAGCUUUAGUUUUUAGUAUCAGUUAAUUUCAUGAUCUCAGGAACCAAAAAAUUAAGUACUUUUUUUUCUUAAGAUACUUUUUUUUAUAAUUAUUCUGGAAAUUCAUUUUUGUUUAUAUUUCAUUCAUUUUUGUGUUUGCAGGCAUCUACGAGCCUUAUACUUUCAGUUUAGCA